Molecule: ribosomal RNA, 468 nt
Filed under: uncultured bacterium
Lineage: Bacteria
Description: partial 16S ribosomal RNA
Rfam family: Bacterial small subunit ribosomal RNA
Source: RNAcentral
GACGAACGCUGGCGGCGUGCCUAACACAUGCAAGUCGAACGGAAAGGCCCUGCUGUUGGGGGGGGCUCGAGUGGCGAACGGGCGAGUAACAAGUGAGUAACCUGCCCUCCACAUUGGGAUAACCACAGGAAACUGGGGAUAAUAACGGAUAGGAACUCCCGCUGAAUGGUGGGGGGAGGAUAAAUUGGGCGGUUGGGGAUGGCCUCGCGGCUUAUCAGCUUGUUGGUGGGGUAGUGGCGGCCCAAGGCCUUGACUGGUCGACGGCCUGGGAGGGUGCCCGGCCCCAUUGGGACUGCGGUACGGCCCAGACUCCUACCGGAGGCAGCAGUGGAGAAUAUUACGCAAUGGGCGGGCGCCUGUUGCAGCAGCGCCGCGUGCGUGAUGACGGCCUUCGAGUUGUAAACCGCUUUCGCCUAUGACGACGCGUUAGUGACGGUAAUGGGUCAAGAAGCACCGGCUAACUACGUG